CUACGGGGUGCACCAGUGAGGAAUAUUGCACAAUGGGGGGAACCCUGAUGCAGCAACGCCGCGUGGAGGAUGACGCAUUUCGGUGUGUAAACUCCUUUUAUAUGUCAAGAAAAUGACGGUAGCAUAUGAAUAAGCACCGGCUAACUCCGUGCCAGCAGCCGCGGUAAUACGGAGGGUGCAAGCGUUACUCGGAAUCACUGGGCGUAAAGGACGCGUAGGCGGGCUUGUAAGUCAGGUGUGAAAUCCUACAGCUUAACUGUAGAACUGCACUUGAAACUACGAGCCUAGAGUAUGGGAGGGGCAGAUGGAAUUAGUGGUGUAGGGGUAAAAUCCGUAGAUAUCACUAGGAAUACCUAAAGCGAAGGCGAUCUGCUGGAACAUAACUGACGCUAAGGCGUGGAAGCGUGGGGAGCAAACAGGAUUAGAUACCCUCGUAGUC
RNAcentral lists this ribosomal RNA (439 nucleotides) under uncultured bacterium. RNAcentral describes it as "partial 16S ribosomal RNA". It matches the Rfam family "Bacterial small subunit ribosomal RNA", at positions 339 to 795 of the family's 1533-position model. The record is from RNAcentral.